Oncorhynchus tshawytscha (Chinook salmon) is the source of this 834-nucleotide long non-coding RNA. The record is from Ensembl. NCBI's taxonomy places the organism in Eukaryota, Metazoa, Chordata, Actinopteri, Salmoniformes, Salmonidae.
GUCCUGAUUCUCUGAAACGUCCAAGAGGAUCAUAAAGGGACCUUCCUGGGCUGCGAUCAAUUACCGCCACUGCACCCCUCUACGAGCUAGAACCAGGAAAUGGAUGCUCCUUGCUGGACUCCAGGUGAGUAAAUGGUUGCUGAUUGCUGGACUCCAGGUGAGUAAAUGGUUGCUGAUUGUUGGACUCCAGGUGAGUGUAAAUGGUUGCUGAUUGCUGGACUCCAGGUGAGUAAAUGGUUGCUGAUUGUUGGACUCCAGGUGAGUGUAAAUGGCUGCUCCUUGCUGGACUCCAGGUGAGUGUAAAUGGUUGCUGAUUGCUGGACUCCAGGUGAGUAAAUGGCUGCUGAUUGUUGGACUCCAGGUGAGUGUAAAUGGCUGCUGAUUGUUGGACUCCAGGUGAGUGUAAAUGGCUGCUGAUUGUUGGACUCCAGGUGAGUGUAAAUGGUUGCUGAUUGUUGGACUCCAGGUGAGUGUAAAUGGUUGCUGAUUGUUGGACUCCAGGUGAGGGUAAAUGGUUGCUGAUUGUUGGACUCCAGGUGAGGGUAAAUGGCUGCUGAUUGCUGGACUCCAGGUGAGUGUAAAUGGUUGCUGAUUGUUGGACUCCAGGUGAGUGUAAAUGGUUGCUGAUUGUUGGACUCCAGGUGAGGGUAAAUGGUUGCUGAUUGCUGGACUCCAGGUGAGGGUAAAUGGUUGCUGAUUGCUGGACUCCAGGUGAGUGUAAAUGGAAGCGUGUCGGAACCAGAAAGAAGAAGAAUGGUUCUCGGUGCACCUGCCUACUUCCCACGCGUCCGGACUUCAAAUUGCUUUGAGCGCCUGUACCAGCUGUCUUCUGCC